This 374-nucleotide ribosomal RNA is filed under the name uncultured bacterium. Its description in RNAcentral is "bacterial SSU rRNA". It matches the Rfam family "Bacterial small subunit ribosomal RNA", at positions 29 to 406 of the family's 1533-position model. The record is from RNAcentral.
AUUGAACGCUGGCGGCGUGCCUAACACAUGCAAGUCGAGCGGCAGCGCGGGAGCAAUCCUGGCGGCGAGCGGCGGACGGGUGAGUAACGCUUGGGAAUCUGCCUGUUAGUGGGGGACAACCCGGGGAAACUCGGGCUAAUACCGCAUACGCGCUACGGUGGAAAGCCGGGGACCGCAAGGCCUGGCGCUAACAGAUGAGCCCAAGUCGGAUUAGCUAGUUGGUAGGGUAACGCCACCAAGGCGACGAUCCGUAACUGGUCUGAGAGGACGACCAGUCACACCGGAACUGAGACACGGUCCGGACUCCUACGGGAGGCAGCAGUGGGGAAUAUUGGACAAUGGGGGAAACCCUGAUCCAGCGACGCCGCGUGGGU